CUCUUUUGUGUUGUGCCUUCGAGACACGAGGACACAGCCCGAGGAAGCGGCUCGGAGGCAUCUUGAAGACUUGGAUCUGGUUUCUGGCCUCGCAGAAUGAAAAUCCGGAGACUGUGCUCACAUUUCCAUGGCUGGGGGUGAUCUCCGUUCUGUGGCAGGAGCCUGGAGCCCUUUGCUUUGUGGAAAUGAAUACAUUAUGAUGGGCACGAGCCAGAAGGAUCCUGCCUGGGUUUAGCUCUGCUGAGGCCAGAGUGCUGCAAGGAUGGGGUAGGUCCACGGUUUCUUGUAUGUGAGUGAUGCUAAUUAACAUCUGGGGAAUAACAGAAUUGUAGGGGUUGGUUUGUUUUUAACACUUGCUGUUCUGUAUGAGUAGAGAUCAUGUGGGGAAAGAAUAAGUUUGCUUUUUAUUUAUUUAUUUAAAGAUAGGCAGGCAUCAAAACCCCAUUCUCCUCUUUAAUCUCUUCAAGCUGAAGGUGCUUAGAACUUGUUGCACAGACUCAUCCACUGGCAGCUUAAUUAACUAAUGGUCCCAGAAAGCACUUAAGAG
RNAcentral lists this long non-coding RNA (547 nucleotides) under Coturnix japonica (Japanese quail). RNAcentral's name for it is "lncRNA (ENSCJPG00005021351.1)". The record is from RNAcentral. Lineage: Eukaryota; Metazoa; Chordata; Aves; Galliformes; Phasianidae.